This 759-nucleotide ribosomal RNA is filed under the name Triticum aestivum (bread wheat). RNAcentral's name for it is "partial small subunit ribosomal RNA". The record is from RNAcentral. Lineage: Eukaryota; Viridiplantae; Streptophyta; Magnoliopsida; Poales; Poaceae.
AUGGCUCGCCGCAAGGUCCCCAUGAGGCUCAUCGAGAAGGCGCGGGCGCGCGCCGAGACCCACGCCAGGAGGACCAAGGGGCUGCAGAAGAAGGCGUCGGAGCUCGCCACGCUCUGCGCGGUCCCGGUCGCGCUCGUCUGCUCUGCCGGCGCCGGGGCUCCGCCGCUCGUGUGGGAGUCGGAGGAGGGAGUGCUCGAGAGGUACCGGCGCGCCGUCCCGGCGGAGGCCCGCGCGCGGCACACGCAGCGGAGCUACAUGGAGACGGAGCUGGGCAAGGAGAAGGCCAAGCUCGCCCGGGCGCGGCACGGCUGCCCCGGCGCGCUCGCGGACUGGGACGCCGCGCUCACCGGCAUGACGCUGGAGGAGGCGCGGGGGCUGCUCGAGACCAUCGACGCGGCGCUGCGGGCCACGGGAGACAGGAUGGAGGCGCUGGGCAUACCUGCCGACGGCGGCCACGGCUCGCUCGAGGAUUCUUCCGACGACGCCUUCAUGCCGCAGCAGCUGGGGCACGGUGGCGGCAACCCCGUGGACAUGGACGCCCCCGCCUUCCAGCAGCUGCAGAUGGUGCCGUUCCACGCUGGGAACAACGAGGGCAACUCUCGCAAUUCUCAUGGGACGAUCCCUUCCAGACGCAGCAAGGGUGCGGCGGCUUCCAAUGCGUCGGCGGUAACUACUCGGGCGGCGGCUACGAGAUGCUCUCACCAGGCUUCACCAAUGCUGACAACAACUGCUCGGCCGGCGUCGACGAGAUGCUCGUAG